CCUACGGGUGGCAGCAGUAGGGAAUAUUGCUCAAUGGGGGAAACCCUGAAGCAGCAACGCCGCGUGGAGGAUGAAGGUUUUCGGAUUGUAAACUCCUUUUGUUAGAGAAGAGAAUGACGGUAUCUAACGAAUAAGCACCGGCGAACGCCGUGCCAGCAGCCGCGGGAAUACGGAGGGUGCAAGCGUUACGCGGAAUCACUGGGCGUACAGAGCGCGGAGGCGGGAUUUCAAGUCAGAUGUGAAAUCCUAGGGCUUAACCCUAGAACUGCAUUUGAAACUGUUAUUCUAGAGUCUGGGAGCGGUAGGUGUCAUUCUUGGUGUAGUGGUCACAUCCGUAGAGAUCACG
Molecule: ribosomal RNA, 346 nt
Filed under: uncultured bacterium
Lineage: Bacteria
Description: partial 16S ribosomal RNA
Rfam family: Bacterial small subunit ribosomal RNA
Source: RNAcentral